GCCAGCGUAGCUUACAUUAAAGUAUAACACUGAAGCUGUUAAGAUGGGCCCUAAUAAGGCCCCGCAAGCA
Molecule: non-coding RNA, 70 nt
Organism: Scleropages formosus (Asian bonytongue)
Lineage: Eukaryota; Metazoa; Chordata; Actinopteri; Osteoglossiformes; Osteoglossidae
Source: the annotation of a RefSeq genome assembly